This 232-nucleotide long non-coding RNA is filed under the name Lathyrus oleraceus (garden pea). Its description in RNAcentral is "Pisum sativum (pea) long non-coding RNA (PSAT_LNC019374)". Lineage: Eukaryota; Viridiplantae; Streptophyta; Magnoliopsida; Fabales; Fabaceae. The record is from RNAcentral.
UCCAGAAAAAGCCCAAACUAGCUUGCUCGCUAGGCGAGCAAUUCCUUCGCCUAGCGAAGCUUGCGAAAAUCAGAAGUUUUGGACCUCAGUCUGAGCCCAUUAGGUCACCACUACUACUAUAAAUACCAGCUCUUCAGCUACGAAAAUGGACGGAGGCGAACGGAGAGACCAAGACGGACAGAGAAGGACAGAAACCCUGCUAACCCGAAGAAUUCAGAGUAAGGAAACCCUG